RNAcentral lists this non-coding RNA (55 nucleotides) under Elusimicrobiota bacterium. RNAcentral describes it as "Elusimicrobia bacterium Li+-I sequence". It matches the Rfam family "nhaA-I RNA". Rfam says of the family: Acidobacteria, Alphaproteobacteria, Betaproteobacteria and Gammaproteobacteria, Verrucomicrobia, cand. division NC10. Downstream gene Lineage: Bacteria; Pseudomonadati; Elusimicrobiota. The record is from RNAcentral.
GGGUUCGGAGCAUGCUGCUGCGCUCCGGAGGAGAGGGAUGGUCGGGCCGCCAUCA